Molecule: transfer RNA, 39 nt
Filed under: Phaeomonas parva
Lineage: Eukaryota; Pinguiophyceae; Pinguiochrysidales; Pinguiochrysidaceae
Description: partial tRNA
Source: RNAcentral
UUUGUAGCUCAGUCGGUAGAGCGUCAGUCUCAUAAUCCC